Long non-coding RNA from Sciurus carolinensis (gray squirrel), 854 nucleotides. RefSeq lists it as uncharacterized. The record is from RefSeq and is a predicted model, not a curated record. The transcript is spliced from 4 exons. NCBI's taxonomy places the organism in Eukaryota, Metazoa, Chordata, Mammalia, Rodentia, Sciuridae.
GAGGCCAGACAACUGACCGCCUCUCCCGCAGUGACAACUGCCACCCAGCCUCUGGCUUAUCGGACACCCAAGGACAGCCAGAGACAUCCAAAGAGCUGAGAGAGGCUACAACUGAGAAGGAUCCCCUCCGUCUUGCUGACUGACUUCUUGGCUAAGACAUUGCAUUGAGCAAACAGGGGUCAUUUGGGAGAUGCCAUCUGGAAGCUCAGUGACUAAGCCAACCUGGCCUGGCUUGGUGUUGACAUGCUCACCUAUGAGAAGAGUGAUUUACGUAAGGGAGGAAAGUAAGACUUCAGGGAUCCAGUCUCACUGCAUCUUCACAACGAUCUUUCAUUGGGGAUUCAAUGACAACCAAGGAAUACAGAGAAGAAAAUACAGCCUCUGACCUUACAGAACUUUCUACUAAAGUGGGUAAAUGGAUUUAGGGAAAUCACUUCCUCACUGCACCUGUGCUUUCUCAUCUGGAAAAGAAGAGUUGGUUUGGAGGAGAUCUACAGGUUCCUUCUAGUUCUGAAAGCCUAAAUUCAUACCAGCAGACUAUAUCCUGACAAGAGGAAGACUGAAAGUCAAGGUCAUGGACUUACGUACCUUAGGAACUGAGUUAAAUGUUAGCUCUGUUUGAAGUAGAGGGUGGUGGGUAAUUAGUGUCUGAUCUAUAAAUGUGAAGUACAAGUUUUUACCCAUUAUAAACCACAAGUUGGUCAAGGAAGCCAUAACCAUCUACAAAUGAACAAUCAAAAUCCCUGAGCUAUGAACUUAUUCUGUAUACUCUUUUUGGACUCCAAUUAAGGAGAGGAAAAAAUCAUAUCCUCCAGGAGAGGGAGCCAGAUUUAAACGUUGACAAGACCAAACUA